This 425-nucleotide ribosomal RNA is filed under the name uncultured eukaryote. RNAcentral's name for it is "SSU rRNA". It matches the Rfam family "Eukaryotic small subunit ribosomal RNA", at positions 592 to 1018 of the family's 1831-position model. The record is from RNAcentral.
CAAUAGCGUAUAUUAAAGUUGUUGCAGUUAAAAGCUCGUAGUUGGAUUUCUGGCUGGAGCGAUCGGUCCGCCCCGCAAGGGGUGUGUACUAGCGUCGUCUCCGACCAUCCUUGUGGGAACUGUGCGGCCGUUAACUCGGUUGUAUAUGGGAACACAUCGUUUACUGUGAAAAAUUAGAGUGUUUAAAGCAGGCUUAAGCCGUUGAAUACAUUAGCAUGGAAUAAUAAGAUAAGACUUGGGUCAUUAUUUUGUUGGUUUGCGGAUCGAGGUAAUGAUUAAUAGGGAUAGUUGGGGGUAUUCAUAUUCCAAUGUCAGAGGUGAAAUUCUUGGAUUAUCGGAAGAUGAACUUCUGCGAAAGCAUCUGCCAAGGAUGUUUUCAUUGAUCAAGAACGAAAGUUAGGGGAUCGAAGAUGAUCAGAUACCGU